Molecule: ribosomal RNA, 618 nt
Filed under: uncultured bacterium
Lineage: Bacteria
Description: bacterial SSU rRNA
Rfam family: Bacterial small subunit ribosomal RNA
Source: RNAcentral
UAAAGAAUUUCGGUAUGGGAUGGGGAUGCGUUCCAUUAGUUAGUUGGCGGGGUAACGGCCCACCAAGACAACGAUGGAUAGGGGUUCUGAGAGGAAGGUCCCCCACAUUGGAAGUGAGACACGGUCCAAACUCCUACGGGAGGCAGCAGUGAGGAAUAUUGGUCAAUGGACGAGAGUCUGAACCAGCCAAGUAGCGUGAAGGAUGACUGCCCUACGGGUUGUAAACUUCUUUUAUAUGGGAAUAAAAUGUUCCACGUGUGGGAUUUUGUAUGUACCAUAUGAAUAAGGAUCGGCUAACUCCGUGCCAGCAGCCGCGGUAAUACGGAGGAUCCGAGCGUUAUCCGGAUUUAUUGGGUUUAAAGGGAGCGUAGGUGGAUUGUUAAGUCAGUUGUGAAAGUUUGCGGCUCAACCGUAAAAUUGCAGUUGAAACUGGCAGUCUUGAGUACAGUAGAGGUGGGCGGAAUUCGUGGUGUAGCGGUGAAAUGCUUAGAUAUCACGAAGAACUCCGAUUGCGAAGGCAGCUCACUGGACUGCAACUGACACUGAGGCUCGAAAGUGUGGGUAUCAAACAGGAUUAGAUACCCUGGUAGUCCACACAGUAAACGAUGAAUACUCGCU